UGCCUCAAUUAAUCAAGCUCAAGCUGGAUCGAAAAUUUCGUUGAGUUCGGCAGGUUUACAUUUAGUGAAAAAUAUUUGUAAACGGUUAUAACUUUUCGUUUGAGUAUCUAUUUUCAGUGUGUAACUCUAAUUCGAAAAAUACUUUUCGAGAUCUAUGCGUUAAACAGUAAAAUAGUUUGGCUGAGUUUGGAAUCCAAAUUCAACUGUUUAGCCGAGUUUAGGAUCCAAAUUCAACUGUUUAGCCCUUCGUUUUUCAAUUUUUAGAUUUUUGAAAAG
Molecule: long non-coding RNA, 276 nt
Filed under: Ananas comosus (pineapple)
Lineage: Eukaryota; Viridiplantae; Streptophyta; Magnoliopsida; Poales; Bromeliaceae
Description: long non-coding RNA (ACOM_LNC010817)
Source: RNAcentral